AUCAAGACCUAAAUAUCUCACUAUCCACAAACAUGUAUUUUUGUAUUUUUUAAUGUUGUGUAAAGUCACAUCAAGACAAAUACAGAGCGAUUUGCAAAUAUGCCUAACUUACUCUGUAAAAACGUAUUUUAAUUCCACAUAAAAUGAUAGAGCUUUUACAGAUGUUAAUACUUUCACCCAAAAAAAUACAUGUGAAGUGAUAUAUACGCAUUUGUGGAUCCAUUUUUACAUGUGAAACAGGUUUUGCACAUUUGUAGAUUGCUUGCUGUCAGAUUGUGGGCCACGUGGCAUUUGUUACUUCCCUCCUGUAUAUUUGUGGAACUUUGUCCACUUCGUUCCGCAGCAGAUCUGUAAAAAAAGAAUCUGUAAAUUGAGGUGCAGUUACUAGCUAGCUUCCCUCACAUGAGCUGACAGAACUACAGUCUGGAAGCUACAGAAAGAAGGCUGAACAUGAGUCAUCAUACAACAGGACAAAACAUGCUAGCUUCUAGCAGGAGGUGAAAGACAAUGUGGAGCAUCUUUAUUUAACCCAACGGUCAUGAUUCAGCAUCGGGUUCAUCAUUGCCAUCUCCAGCAGGACUUAAACUCCGGCCCUUCCUCCACUCUUUCAGCCUGUUUGGUACCAAGCGCUCUUGGCCACCUUUUAGUAUCGUGAAUACUACUGCUGCUCUCCGCCUGCCAUGCUCACUGCUCAGCUCUGCCAUGCGCCAUUUACCCUCCACCUUCACCAGCUGGGACCCUUACUCACCCUCUCAUCAUACAUUCCAAAGCCUUUUGCAAUAAAGUCCUUAUUUGGUCAUCUAGCCCACGAGUUUGUGUUCUGUAUUUGUGUUCGCUCAUUUAACAUAACUUUGAUGUAAAAUGAUUAAAACAUUCUUAAAACUAACGCACUUUUUGUUCACUCUCUGGUAGUAUACAUAUACAAAUAAUACUCUGAAUGAAUGAAAAAAUUAAAUUGCAACUCAUAUACCUACUGCAUAUUGAAUUACUUUUUGUAAGUGCAAAUAAAUACUAAUUGAUUAAAAUUCACUUUGAGUUCAUUCAAACAGACAAUUCUCAAAAGUAGGCUUGUAUUUAUUUAAAUAUAAAUGUAAAACAAGUACAUUGUGUACACUUGUACAGAAAAGUUCAGAUGGAGAUGAAAAGAAGAGUCCAGCAUCGUCCAGCAGCAGUAGAAUGCAGUGUUGAUGGUGGCUUGGAGUCCAGUGAUGGUAUCAGGACAGGAGAGAUGAGGCCAAGGUGCUGCUGAGAAGACAGAGAGAAAGAAAGAGAUGAGAGGGUCAGCGAUAUCUCAGAGAAAAUCCACAAGUCGCAUCAUUCCCAUAAUCAUGUAGCAGAAACAUACCAGAGACAUCAUGGCUUACAAAGCAUUUAACUUUUAAAUUACUUCCACUUUUUUUACCAUUUAAACUGAGAUUACACAUUAAUGCAAUAAACAUUUUAGUGGAGCUGCUCUAACAGACUGACAGCUGUCUUGU
This is a long non-coding RNA of Siniperca chuatsi (mandarin fish), 1478 nucleotides long. RefSeq lists it as uncharacterized. NCBI's taxonomy places the organism in Eukaryota, Metazoa, Chordata, Actinopteri, Centrarchiformes, Sinipercidae. The transcript has 2 exons. The record is from RefSeq and is a predicted model, not a curated record.